Molecule: non-coding RNA, 30 nt
Filed under: Rattus norvegicus (Norway rat)
Lineage: Eukaryota; Metazoa; Chordata; Mammalia; Rodentia; Muridae
Source: RNAcentral
UCCCACUUGCUAUUCUGAAGGCUCUUUGGU